Molecule: ribosomal RNA, 453 nt
Filed under: uncultured bacterium
Lineage: Bacteria
Description: bacterial SSU rRNA
Rfam family: Bacterial small subunit ribosomal RNA
Source: RNAcentral
GAUGAACGCUAGCUACAGGCUUAACACAUGCAAGUCGAGGGGCAGCAUUUCAGUUUGCUUGCAAACUGGAGAUGGCGACCGGCGCACGGGUGAGUAACACGUAUCCAACCUGCCGAUAACUCGGGGAUAGCCUUUCGAAAGAAAGAUUAAUACCCGAUGGUAUAAUUAGACCGCAUGGUCUUGUUAUUAAAGAAUUUCGGUUAUCGAUGGGGAUGCGUUCCAUUAGGCAGUUGGUGAGGUAACGGCUCACCAAACCUUCGAUGGAUAGGGGUUCUGAGAGGAAGGUCCCCCACAUUGGAACUGAGACACGGUCCAAACUCCUACGGGAGGCAGCAGUGAGGAAUAUUGGUCAAUGGGCGCAGGCCUGAACCAGCCAAGUAGCGUGAAGGAUGACUGCCCUAUGGGUUGUAAACUUCUUUUAUAUGGGAAUAAAGUUUUCCACGUGUGGAAUUU